ACAUCGGAACGUACCCUGGAAGUGGGGGAUAACGCCGCGAAAGCGGCGCUAAUACCGCAUAUGCUCUGAGGAGGAAAGUGGGGGACCGCAAGGCCCUCACGCUCUGGGAGCGGCCGAUGUCCGAUUAGCUAGUUGGUGAGGUAAAGGCUUACCAAGGCGACGAUCGGUAGCUGGUCUGAGAGGAUGAUCAGCCACACUGGGACUGAGACACGGCCCAGACUCCUACGGGAGGCAGCAGUGGGGAAUUUUGGACAAUGGGGGCAACCCCUGAUCCAGCCAUGCCGCGUGAGUGAAGAAGGCCUUCGGGUUGUAAAGCUCUUUUGGUCGGGAAGAAAGUGCCCUGCUUAAUACGCGGGGUAUUUGACGGUACCGGCAGAAUAAGCACCGGCUAACUACGUG
This 399-nucleotide ribosomal RNA is filed under the name uncultured bacterium. RNAcentral describes it as "bacterial SSU rRNA". It matches the Rfam family "Bacterial small subunit ribosomal RNA", at positions 115 to 507 of the family's 1533-position model. The record is from RNAcentral.